This 504-nucleotide ribosomal RNA is filed under the name uncultured bacterium. RNAcentral describes it as "partial 16S ribosomal RNA". It matches the Rfam family "Bacterial small subunit ribosomal RNA", at positions 30 to 523 of the family's 1533-position model. The record is from RNAcentral.
AUUGAACGCUGGCGGCAGGCCUAACACAUGCAAGUCGAACGGUAGCACAGAGAGCUUGCUCUCGGGUGACGAGUGGCGGACGGGUGAGUAACGUCUGGGAAACUGCCCGAUGGAGGGGGAUAACUACUGGAAACGGUAGCUAAUACCGCAUAACGUCGCAAGACCAAAGUGGGGGACCUUCGGGCCUCACACCAUCGGAUGUGCCCAGAUGGGAUUAGCUAGUAGGUGGGGUAAUGGCUCACCUAGGCGACGAUCCCUAGCUGGUCUGAGAGGAUGACCAGCCACACUGGAACUGAGACACGGUCCAGACUCCUACGGGAGGCAGCAGUGGGUAAUAUUGCACAAUGGGCGCAAGCCUGAUGCAGCCAUACCGCGUGUAUGAAGAAGGCCUUCGGGUUGUAAAGUACUUUCAGCGGGGAGGAAGGCGGUGGAGUUAAUAACUUCACCGAUUGACGUUACCCGCAGAAGAAGCACCGGCUAACUCCGUGCCAGCAGCCGCCGUAA